Molecule: long non-coding RNA, 308 nt
Organism: Gorilla gorilla gorilla (western lowland gorilla)
Lineage: Eukaryota; Metazoa; Chordata; Mammalia; Primates; Hominidae
Exons: 3
Source: RefSeq, a predicted model, not a curated record
AGGCCCGGCGGGAACGCCUUAGGGCGGAGGUUUGCUACAGGCGACGCUGCCGCCUCGCCGCCGUCACCGGCCGGGACCCUGCGAACUGUACUGCAUUCCUUAAUCUACUCAAGGUGACACCUAAGAUUAACCAUCACAGAUGGGGAUGAAGUCUGGAUUAGCGAGAUGUGCUGUUCCAUUUGGAAGUCAAGGUUGAUGCCACCUAAAUCGGUUCCUGCUGCAAGGAACUUGAUGACAUCCUCCUCUUUCAUUUGCAGAACAUUAAGGACUCCAGACAUUGUGAACAUUUUCCUGUAAGUUAUGAUGGC